RNAcentral lists this long non-coding RNA (1083 nucleotides) under Mus spicilegus (steppe mouse). RNAcentral's name for it is "lncRNA (ENSMSIG00000001886.1)". Lineage: Eukaryota; Metazoa; Chordata; Mammalia; Rodentia; Muridae. The record is from RNAcentral.
GGGUUUUGCCCUUGCUUGUAACUCACACCACAAAUAAUACUGUAAGCCUCUGGCUGUGAGGUGCAGAGUGGAAGCUGCCAAGAACAUCAGAGUAAGUGAAGCCCUUUGCUGCCAUUCAGGAUGCUGGAAGUGCAGGGGACAGAUUCAGACAACCUCAAAGAACUCUUUCUGCUAGGACACCUCUAUCAGGACUCAAUUGGUAGUGCUCUUCCAGUUCAGUGUUGGGUACCUGGGUGUCAAGCAGCUUUCUGGGGCCCUGUGACUGCUCUCCUAUACACACUGUUGUUGUUGUUUUUUUUUAAUCCAUCCUUAGCAUGGGGGUGAGCAUCGGUGUCUUUAAUGUGUAGCAAAAGAAUAAAGACUGUGAGCUAAAUAACUCUUUCAAGGUCAAGGUCAUAUACCAGUUACCUGAUUAUAUAGGUAAAGGUCAAGGUCAUAUACCAGUUACCUGAUUAUAUAGACAAAGGUCAAGGUCAUAUACCAGUUACCUGAUUAUAUAGGCAAAGGUCAAGGUCAUAUACCAGUUACCUGAUUAUAUAGGCAGAAAGCUAGGAUAACCUCCACGAACUCCUAGAACUAUGUUCUUACCUGUCUGUCUCUCAGCAACACAAGCCAAAGAAUCACGGUGUUCUUAGGCCCGUCUAUGAAGGACAAUAAUUGUGGAAAGAGACUUCAAGUACUUCCUCCCAAAACAAUGUGGAUGAACCGGCUCUAUCAACUGAAGUCUUGUCCAUACGAGGAUUUCAUUACCAUUCUAAAAGUGUUAUCAGACUUCGUUUCCUCCUUCUUCACCAACCUAUGAUCGAUCAGCCUAAUAAAUGCGCUAAGACUCACGCCCUGCUCUCCUGCCCUCCACUGCUCGCCCCGGGCUCUCCGGCCGCCACCGCCUGCCCCGCCCGCGCUUCGCUACCCCAGCCUCCCGCACCAGACGCCGGCUGCUCCUGCGCUCCCACGCCCGCGCACCUCGCUCUCCCAGCCCCGCGCUCCCACACCCGGCGCGGAGGAGGCGGGCGCCCGGGGCGAGGGCAGGGCGGCCACGUCAGCGGCGCCGGCUCGCUCCGCCCUCCGCGGGCCUCCCCAUAG